Small nuclear RNA from Heterocephalus glaber (naked mole-rat), 146 nucleotides. Its record names the gene U4. It matches the Rfam family "U4 spliceosomal RNA". Rfam says of the family: U4 small nuclear RNA (U4 snRNA) is a component of the major U2-dependent spliceosome. The record is from Ensembl. Lineage: Eukaryota; Metazoa; Chordata; Mammalia; Rodentia; Bathyergidae.
AGCUUUGCAAAGUGGCAGUAUCAUAGCCAAUGAGGUUUAUCUGAGGUGUGAUUAUUGCUAAUUGAAAAAAGAUAACUACAGACCAAUCUCCCUAAUAAAUGUAGAUGCAAAAAUCCUCAGUGAGAUAUUGGCAAACAGAAUGCAGC